GUCUACAGCCAUGCCACCCUGAACAAGCCCGAUGUCUGAUCUCGGAAGCUAAGCAGGGUCGGGCCUGGUUAGUACUUUGAUGGGAGGACACCUAGGAAGACCAGGUCCCGUAGGUA
This 116-nucleotide ribosomal RNA is filed under the name Pteropus alecto (black flying fox). The record is from RNAcentral. Lineage: Eukaryota; Metazoa; Chordata; Mammalia; Chiroptera; Pteropodidae.